Molecule: unclassified non-coding RNA, 352 nt
Filed under: soil metagenome
Description: partial contains 5.8S ribosomal RNA, internal transcribed spacer 2, and large subunit ribosomal RNA
Rfam family: 5.8S ribosomal RNA (bases 1-120)
Source: RNAcentral
GAUGAAGAACGUAGCGAAAUGCGAUAAGUGAUGUGAAUUGCAGAAUUCAGUGAAUCAUCGAAUCUUUGAACGCACAUUGCGCCCGCCAGUAUUCUGGCGGGCAUGCCUGUUCGAUCGUCAUUACAACCCUCAGGCCCCCGGGCCUGGCGUUGGGGAUCGGCGGAAGCCCCCUGUGGGCACACGCCGUCCCUCAAAUACAGUGGCGGUCCCGCCGCAGCUUCCAUUGCGUAGUAGCUAACACCUCGCAACUGGAGAGCGGCGCGGCCAUGCCGUAAAACACCCAACUUCUGAAUGUUGACCUCGAAUCAGGUAGGAAUACCCGCUGAACUUAAGCAUAUCAAUAAGCGGAGGA